AGAGUUUGAUCAUGGCUCAGAAUCAACGCUGGCGGCGUGCCUAACACAUGCAAGUCGAACGAGAAAGGGGAGCAAUCCCUGAGUACAGUGGCGACCGGGUGAGUAACACGUGACUACCUACCCUUGAGUGGGGGAUAACCUCGGGAAACCGAGGCUAAUACCGCAUAAUAUCGAGAGAUCAAAGGAGUAAUCCGCUUUUGGAGGGGGUCGCGGCUGAUUAGCUAGUUGGUAGGGUAAUGGCCUACCAAGGCGAAGAUCGGUAUCCGGCCUGAGAGGGCGCACGGACACACUGGAACUGAAACACGGUCCAGACUCCUACGGGAGGCAGCAGUGGGGAAUUUUGCGCAAUGGGGGAAACCCUGACGCAGCAACGCCGCGUGGAGGAUGAAGCUCCUUGGAGUGUAUACCCCUUUCGACCGGGACGAUAAUGACGGUACCGGUGGAAGAAGCACCGGCUAACUCUGUGCCAGCAGCCGCGGUAAUACAGAGGGUGCGAGCGUUGUUCGGAAUUAUUGGGCGUAAAGGGCGCGUAGGCGGUGUUGUAAGUCACCUGUGAAACCUCUGGGCUUAACUCAGAGCCUGCAGGCGAAACUGCAAUGCUGGAGGGUGGGAGAGGUGCGUGGAAUUCCCGGUGUAGCGGCGAAAUGCGUAGAUAUCGGGAGGAACACCUGUGGCGAAAGCGGCGCACUGGACCACUACUGACGCUGAGGCGCGAAAGCUAGGGGAGCAAACAGGAUUAGAUACCCUAGUAGUCC
RNAcentral lists this ribosomal RNA (755 nucleotides) under uncultured bacterium. RNAcentral's name for it is "bacterial SSU rRNA". It matches the Rfam family "Bacterial small subunit ribosomal RNA", at positions 8 to 796 of the family's 1533-position model. The record is from RNAcentral.